This is a non-coding RNA of Spinacia oleracea (spinach), 83 nucleotides long. The record is from Rfam. Lineage: Eukaryota; Viridiplantae; Streptophyta; Magnoliopsida; Caryophyllales; Amaranthaceae.
AGAGGCCUGUGACGAUCUUUCAAAAUUUUGCCUACAUUGUUUGAUAAUACAAUGAUAAAGCUAUAUUUGUGUCUGAGGCCCUA